UGCCAGCCGCCGCGGUAAUACGGAGGAUCCAAGCGUUAUCCGGAAUCAUUGGGUUUAAAGGGUCCGUAGGUGGAUUAUUAAGUCAGAGGUGAAAGUCUGCGGCUCAACCGUAGAAUUGCCUUUGAUACUGGUAAUCUUGAGUCAUUAUGAAGUGGUUAGAAUGUGUAGUGUAGCGGUGAAAUGCAUAGAUAUUACACAGAAUACCAAUUGCGAAGGCAGAUUACUAACAAUUAACUGACGCUGAGGGACGAAAGCGUGGGUAGCGAACAGGAUUAGAUA
Molecule: ribosomal RNA, 279 nt
Filed under: uncultured bacterium
Lineage: Bacteria
Description: partial 16S ribosomal RNA
Rfam family: Bacterial small subunit ribosomal RNA
Source: RNAcentral